This 1103-nucleotide ribosomal RNA is filed under the name Aphis crinosa. RNAcentral describes it as "partial 16S large subunit ribosomal RNA". Lineage: Eukaryota; Metazoa; Arthropoda; Insecta; Hemiptera; Aphididae. The record is from RNAcentral.
UUUUUUAUAAAAGUAAUUUAUUUAUUUUAGGUUUAAGUAUUUAUUAAAAAUUAAUUUAUAGAUUUAUAGUUUAAUAGUAUUGUAAAAGAAAUCAUUAAAUUUAAAAAAGAAUUAUUUAGUACCUUUUGUAUCAGGGUUGAUUAAAAUUUUUAAUAUUUUUUUUAAUUUCUCAAAAUUUAUAGAGUUAAUUUUAUUAUUAAGUUAUUGUGUUAUAAAUAUUUAUAAAAUAAUAUUAGUUUAGAAAUUUAAUUCGUUAUAUUAUAUUUAGUUAUUUAAGAUUUAAAUUUAAUUUAAAAUUUUAAAAGUUAAAUUAAUUUUUUUAAUUUAUAUUUUAAAUUUAAAUUAUUUUAGGGAUAAGCUUGAAAUUUUUAUAUAAUAAAAUAUUUAUUUAAAUAAUUUAUAGGAAUAGAAAUUUUUAUUAAAAGUUUGUAAAAAUUUAUUAUUUAUUUAAUUUUAAUUUAUUAUAUUUUGUUUAUUUUUUUUAUUAAAUUUUAUUAAUUAAUAUUUGAUUAAUAGUAAUAAUGAUUAAAUUAGUAUAAUUUAUAUUUAUAAAUUAUGAAUUCGGCAAAAAUUAUUUUCAUCUGUUUAACAAAAACAUUGUAUUAAGUUUAAUUUAAUAUAGGAUCUGCUCAAUGAUUUAUUAAAUAGCUGCAGUAUUUUGACUGUGCAAAGGUAGCAUAAUAAUUAGUCUUUUAAUUGAGGACUUGAAUGAAAGAUUUGAUGAAAAAUAAACUUUAUUAUUUAUAUAAUUAAAAUUUUAUUUUUAAGUAAAAAAGCUUAAAUUAUUUAAAGGGACGAUAAGACCCUAUAAAACUUUAUAAAUUUUAUUUUUAAUUUUUUUGGAUUUAAAUUUAUAUACAUAUUAUUGUUAAAAUUUAUUUUAUUGGGGUGAUAAAAAAAAAUAAUUAACUUUUUUUAAAAUUUAACAUUAUUUAAUGAAUAUUUGAAUUAAAAUUUUUAAUUAGAGGAAAAAGUUACUUUAGGGAUAACAGCGUAAUUAAUUUUUUAAGUUCAAAUUUGAAAAUUAGUUUGCGACCUCGAUGCUGAAUUAAGAUUAAUUUUAGGUGCAAAAUUUUAAGUCUUAGGUUUGUUCGACCCUUCAA